RNAcentral lists this ribosomal RNA (468 nucleotides) under uncultured bacterium. RNAcentral's name for it is "partial 16S ribosomal RNA". It matches the Rfam family "Bacterial small subunit ribosomal RNA", at positions 28 to 507 of the family's 1533-position model. The record is from RNAcentral.
GACGAACGCUGGCGGCGUGCUUAACACAUGCAAGUCGAACGGAAAGGCCCUGCUUUUGUGGGGUGCUCGAGUGGCGAACGGGUGAGUAACACGUGAGUAACCUGCCCUUGACUUUGGGAUAACUUCAGGAAACUGGGGCUAAUACCGGAUAGGAGCUCCUGCUGCAUGGUGGGGGUUGGAAAGUUUCGGCGGUUGGGGAUGGACUCGCGGCUUAUCAGCUUGUUGGUGGGGUAGUGGCUUACCAAGGCUUUGACGAGUAGCAGGCCUGAGAGGGUGACCGGCCACAUUGAAACUGAGAUACGGCACAGACUCCUACGGGAGGCAGCAGAGGGAAAUAUUGCACGAUGGGCGGAAGCCUGAUGCAGCAACGCCGCGUGCGGGAUGACGGCCUUCGGGUUGUAAACCGCUUUCGCCUGUGACGAAGCGUGAGUGACGGUAAUGGGUAAAGAAGCACCGGCUAACUACGUG